Molecule: ribosomal RNA, 380 nt
Filed under: uncultured eukaryote
Lineage: Eukaryota
Description: partial 18S ribosomal RNA
Rfam family: Eukaryotic small subunit ribosomal RNA
Source: RNAcentral
CAAUAGCGUAUAUUAAAGUUGUUGCGGUUAAAAAGCUCGUAGUUGGAUUUCUGCCGAGGACGACCGGUCCGCCCUCUGGGUGAGUAUCUGGCUCGGCCUGGGCAUCUUCUUGGAGAACGUAGCUGCACUUGACUGUGUGGUGCGGUAUCCAGGACUUUUACUUUGAGGAAAUUAGAGUGUUUCAAGCAGGCUUACGCCUUGAAUACAUUAGCAUGGAAUAAUAAGAUAGGACCUCGGUUCUAUUUUGUUGGUUUCUAGAGCUGAGGUAAUGAUUAAUAGGGAUAGUUGGGGGCAUUCGUAUUUAACUGUCAGAGGUGAAAUUCUUGGAUUUGUUAAAGACGCACUACUGCGAAAGCAUUUGCCAAGGAUGUUUUCAUUGA